Molecule: transfer RNA, 76 nt
Filed under: Escherichia coli
Lineage: Bacteria; Pseudomonadati; Pseudomonadota; Gammaproteobacteria; Enterobacterales; Enterobacteriaceae
Also listed under: 1 other name
Description: tRNA-Lys
Rfam family: tRNA
About the family: Transfer RNA (tRNA) molecules are approximately 80 nucleotides in length. Their secondary structure includes four short double-helical elements and three loops (D, anti-codon, and T loops).
Source: RNAcentral
GGGUCGUUAGCUCAGUUGGUAGUGCAGUUGACUUUUAAUCAAUUGGUCGCAGGUUCGAAUCCUGCACGACCCACCA